GAUGAACGCUGGCGGCGUGCCUAAUACAUGCAAGUCGAGCGAACAGACGAGGAGCUUGCUCCUCUGACGUUAGCGGCGGACGGGUCAGUAACACGUGGAUAACCUACCUAUAAGACUGGGAUAACUUCGGGAAACCGGAGCUAAUACCGGAUAAUAUAUUGAACCGCAUGGUUCAAUAGUGAAAGACGGUUUUGCUGUCACUUAUAGAUGGAUCCGCGCCGCAUUAGCUAGUUGGUAAGGUAACGGCUUACCAAGGCAACGAUGCGAAGCCGACCUAAGAGGGUGAUCGGCCACACUGGAACUGAGACACGGUCCAGACUCCUACGGGAGGCAGCAGUAGGGAAUCUUCCGCAAUGGGCGAAAGCCUGACGGAGCAAAGCCGCGUGAGUGAUGAAGGUCUUCGGAUCGUAAAACUCUGUUAUUAGGAAAGAACAAAUGUGUAAGUAACUAUGCACGUCUUGACGGUACCUAAUCAGAAAGCCACGGCUAACUACGUG
RNAcentral lists this ribosomal RNA (497 nucleotides) under uncultured bacterium. RNAcentral describes it as "partial 16S ribosomal RNA". It matches the Rfam family "Bacterial small subunit ribosomal RNA", at positions 28 to 507 of the family's 1533-position model. The record is from RNAcentral.